UACUCGUUCUAUGAGUAGCGGUACAGAAAACACGACUACAAGAGCCGUAGAUGCGGCGUUCGUAGUCGGCGUCAGGAACCUCGGCGGCCUCCCUAGGACGCCCAGGGAAGAUCACUGAGGAACCGAGUGACGUAGGGUUCCACGCCCCUGCAGCUGUAGGGGAUAGGGAAGCCAUAUCCCGGGCCGACGAAGGCAGUUCCGAAGCUAGAGUGGACGUUGGUGAGGUGGAUGUUAGGGUCCGAGAAAAAUCCGUCGUCGUGAUAGGUCCAGUGACUGUAACUGUAUAUGAGGCCGCAUCAUACCUGGGGAUAUUAGAUGUUGGAAUGUUGCUCAGAUCCAUGUUUAUGUAUGCUGUAGUAUACCUUCCGGGGACGAUUUCCAUAAUGAGAGUGAUCUCUAUUAUGAAACAUGCAUCGACCAACACUAAACCUGCAGUGGAACAAGUUCAUACCAUGUUCUUUGUACCAACCAAGAACAUACUGAUCUACGCGGCCGUCCUUCCGUGGCUGACCUCCCGGAACAUUACCUUUCCCGACGACGGAGUAGGCCAAACGUUCACUGGACGGUCCGAAAGUGCGUUUAGAACAGUCGUGAUUAUGAUGACGUUGUGUUAGUCUAACCAAGGUGGGACCGUAGUACCGAAAUCACAGUUUAAUAGGUCUAAUAAUGUAUCUACUACAACCUCGGCUAGAAAAGAGAUCAACCUGUUUACUCUAGGUCCGCCUCGAAUCUCAACGGUAGUACCUGGUUGGUUCGACACAUUCACGUGUUGACUUCUCCCUUUCGAUACGGACAUCGUUGGCAUCGUCAACAGCCUUAAGGAGUAAGCCACCAAUGGUUACACAGACGGGAAGAAUAUUGCCUCUGUUGGGAAUGUACAAUGUACCUACGUACGUUCUAAUAUUGGGGUUCGGGUUUCUUCUGACAGGGCGUAGUACACCAGCGUAAUGACAAGGGAAGGGGAAACCAGAACUUCUUCCCACAAUACGUUUGCUUUCUAAAGCAGAAUUAACAUGUAGACCACUAGAGUAUAAAAGAGAGAGUUAACGUGUUAUAGAACACUGACUAUAUAGGCACCUUCUACCCUGAAACUAACAAUUGUUGUACCACUUACCUUCAUUACGACUUCUCCAUCAUUAAUACUUCUGAGUCUCACGACCUGUAAGUAACGUAAACCCGGGGGGACACCUUCUAGAUAAACUAAAGAGAUACCUUAUGUUGUAACAAUACUUGACCCGCCAAUGGUUAAAUUGUACAGUUUGUCGAUACGUCUUCCUAUAAAUACGUACGGCGUCAAGGGUGUCGAUAACGGAUUUACAGUGGGUACCCCUUUAUAAAUACCCUAUGGCAACGUUCACAAGAAAUCCGAUAGUUCCUUUAGGCAUGUAGUUUCUACCGACGUUUCUAUAGCUACUCACACGUCCUAGUUGGAUGACGUUACCCUGUACAGUUUUAAAAUAACCUUCGAUGUUUACGUGCUCAACGGGAGUAUCUUUUCUCAAACUAGGUUAUUUUGCCGUCACACAAUGUAGUCGGUUCGUUGUGUCAGAAGAAAACCCAUUCAGCAUCCAUCACUAUAUAAGAAAACGUCAAUUUUAAUUAGUUUACGUCUGACUGAGUUUCUCGCUACUAAUUUACAUCCGUAGCGUUAACCUUGACCUACACCAGAACCGAGGUAUUAAUAACGUCGGACACAUCAAUCUAAGUGGUUGUUCACCUUCUUUCCGUAGGCCUUCUCUUAGGCUGCUCGUGUGAAGUUCUUUUUAGUUCCAGAAGAAAACCUCGUCGAAUAGAGUCUACUUUUGCGGUGUUUAUUUUGUUUCUAUAAGAGGAACCUCCUAGAUGUCUUCCGUUGGUUGUUGAAGCUAUGGUGAGCACAAGAACCAGCACCUCCUGUGCCAUGUCAAAUAUUUCCCUAAGAUAGACUGGUUGCCCACCACCGAUAAUUUUUUAGGUUUUAACACCUCGUUUGACUCUAUCUGGUCAAAUAGUUACUCCAACGAUAGAACAGAGUUUAGUAAGUAGCUUUACACCAUUUCGAGAAGCCAACAACGGAACUUAGACUCCACGGAAACGAACACAUGCUCAAGUAUAGAUUACCGUGUGACGUACUGGAUGAAGUGUAACUACAACCACAAUUUACGAACGACAGAACCCUACUAGCGUAAUCCUAACGUCAUCUUCGCCGACCGCGUGAACGAAUAGACGUGAGCCGACGACGUUAUGGUUAAAAGGUAUCUCUGCACUUUAGAAGAUUAUAAGAUAACCUGUCGUCGAAACGGUGUUUCCAAAGACUUAAACCACGAAGUUCCAGAGAAAGUGAGCUACUCUGUGUACACCACUGAUAACAGGUUCCUUGGAAACCAAUGGAUCUAGGUCUCAUAAUGGUAUGACCCGUCAACUGCCUUUUCUCACUACACAUAUUAAAACCUCAUUAUGAACACCUUGAAAACUGUUCUUUUUUCGGUUAAAAAUAGUUACUAUAUCCACGUUUUGUCUUGAACCGGGUAAUAAAGCACCUUCCUAACGUUCUCCCUCGAUAGUACCUUAAUUACCUAGGAGUCCAAUAGUUUCUCCGUUCGGGUCUUCUACAACUACUAUAAACGAGUGAAUGUCUUCGUACGAACUCCGAGUUUCCUUCUCUGUCCGGAUGAUACUUUCUUCAUCUGUACUCCAACGUUAAGGACUCUUGAUUUUCCGUUUCUUUUACGUUAUAAGAAGGUCUCCAGUCGAUGAGAUGACGUGUCUACGACGGGUCAACGAUAUCAGAUCUUGUUCUUGUGAGUAGGAGAGAGUGUAACGGUGCGAUUCAUAUAUGUUCGUUAUGGUGUUAACGAAGGAAGGUUCAUAAGUAGACUUAACGGUAGAUAAAAGAUAACUGGGCAUAACACAUUAAUACAAUGUAUCAAGUGAAAUAUGUUCUCAUACAGUACAUCAUAGCGAAGGUCAUAUAAACGUCUCAAAUAAACAUUCGGGUACAGUUAACACAUGUUGAAAUAAUGUUAAUCUCCUCACAAUGUUAAUGAACACCGUUUAUACCAACAUUCCUUAUUGAAUUCUAUGUAGUAACAUAAAUUCAACGCAACCACGUC
Molecule: ribosomal RNA, 3092 nt
Filed under: Triticum aestivum (bread wheat)
Lineage: Eukaryota; Viridiplantae; Streptophyta; Magnoliopsida; Poales; Poaceae
Description: partial small subunit ribosomal RNA
Source: RNAcentral